GCCCGGGUGGCUUAGUCGGUUAAGCAUCUGACUUCGGCUCGGUCAUGAUCUCGCGGUUUGUGGGUUCAAGCCCCGCAUCAGGCU
RNAcentral lists this transfer RNA (84 nucleotides) under Felis catus (domestic cat). It matches the Rfam family "tRNA". From Rfam's summary of the family: Transfer RNA (tRNA) molecules are approximately 80 nucleotides in length. Their secondary structure includes four short double-helical elements and three loops (D, anti-codon, and T loops). Further hydrogen bonds mediate the characteristic L-shaped molecular structure. tRNAs have two regions of fundamental functional importance: the anti-codon, which is responsible for specific mRNA codon recognition, and the 3' end, to which the tRNAs corresponding amino acid is attached (by aminoacyl-tRNA synthetases). tRNAs cope with the degeneracy of the genetic code in two manners: having more than one tRNA (with a specific anti-codon) for a particular amino acid; and 'wobble' base-pairing, i.e. permitting non-standard base-pairing at the 3rd anti-codon position. The record is from Rfam by way of RNAcentral. Lineage: Eukaryota; Metazoa; Chordata; Mammalia; Carnivora; Felidae.